Molecule: transfer RNA, 71 nt
Filed under: Marmota monax (woodchuck)
Lineage: Eukaryota; Metazoa; Chordata; Mammalia; Rodentia; Sciuridae
Description: tRNA.Ala
Rfam family: tRNA
About the family: Transfer RNA (tRNA) molecules are approximately 80 nucleotides in length. Their secondary structure includes four short double-helical elements and three loops (D, anti-codon, and T loops).
Source: RNAcentral
GGGGCUGUGGCUCAGUGAUAGAGCACUUGCCUAGCAUGUAUGAAGCACUGGGUUUGAUUCUCAGCACCACA